UGGGGAAUCUUGCGCAAUGCGCGACAGCGUGACGCAGCAACGCCGCGUGGGGGAAGACGGCCUUCGGGUUGUAAACCCCUUUCAGUUGGGACGAAGGUUCGGCCGUUAAUAGCGGUCCGGACUGACGGUACCUUCAGAAGAAGCCCCGGCUAACUACGUGCCAGCAGCCGCGGUAAUACGUAGGGGGCAAGCGUUGUCCGGAAUCAUUGGGCGUAAAGAGCGUGUAGGCGGCCCGAUAAGUCCGCUGUGAAAGUCCAGGGCUCAACCCUGGAAUGCCAGUGGAAACUGUCGGGCUGGAGUCCGGAAGAGGCGAGUGGAAUUCCUGGUGUAGCGGUGAAAUGCGCAGAUAUCAGGAGGAACACCAAUGGCGAAGGCAGCUCGCUGGGACGGUACUGACGCUGAGACGCGAAAGCGUGGGGAGCAAACAG
RNAcentral lists this ribosomal RNA (428 nucleotides) under uncultured bacterium. RNAcentral describes it as "bacterial SSU rRNA". It matches the Rfam family "Bacterial small subunit ribosomal RNA", at positions 355 to 775 of the family's 1533-position model. The record is from RNAcentral.